This 616-nucleotide ribosomal RNA is filed under the name Rhizobium sp. LR55. RNAcentral's name for it is "bacterial SSU rRNA". It matches the Rfam family "Bacterial small subunit ribosomal RNA", at positions 127 to 778 of the family's 1533-position model. Lineage: Bacteria; Pseudomonadati; Pseudomonadota; Alphaproteobacteria; Hyphomicrobiales; Rhizobiaceae. The record is from RNAcentral.
UACCCUUUCCUGCGGAAUAGCUCCGGGAAACUGGAAUUAAUACCGCAUACGCCCUACGGGGGAAAGAUUUAUCGGGGAAGGAUUGGCCCGCGUUGGAUUAGCUAGUUGGUGGGGUAAAGGCCUACCAAGGCGACGAUCCAUAGCUGGUCUGAGAGGAUGAUCAGCCACAUUGGGACUGAGACACGGCCCAAACUCCUACGGGAGGCAGCAGUGGGGAAUAUUGGACAAUGGGCGCAAGCCUGAUCCAGCCAUGCCGCGUGAGUGAUGAAGGCCUUAGGGUUGUAAAGCUCUUUCACCGGAGAAGAUAAUGACGGUAUCCGGAGAAGAAGCCCCGGCUAACUUCGUGCCAGCAGCCGCGGUAAUACGAAGGGGGCUAGCGUUGUUCGGAAUUACUGUGCGUAGAGCGCACGUAGGCGGAUAUUUAAGUCAGGGGUGAAAUCCCAUAGCUCAACUCUGGAACUGCCUUUGAUACUGGGUAUCUUGAGUAUGGAAGAGGUAAGUGUAAUUCCGAUGUAGAGUUGAAAUUCGUAGAUAUGCGGAGGAACACCAGUGGCGAAGGCGGCUUACUGGUCCAUUACUGACGCUGAGGUGCGAAAGCGUGGGGAGCUAACAGGAU